Streptococcus sp. DD10 is the source of this 108-nucleotide small RNA. It matches the Rfam family "Streptococcus RNA 266". The record is from Rfam. Lineage: Bacteria; Bacillati; Bacillota; Bacilli; Lactobacillales; Streptococcaceae.
AAUGAGGUUUGAACGCUUUUCAUUAUAAAUCAUGUGGGCUUUUUUGCUAAAUAGAAAAAGCUCUAUAAUACCCGCGGUGGAGUUACCCACUACAGAUAUUAUAGAGCC